GUUAACUAUGGAGUUAUGAAUAUACCUUAUCCUUGUUCAAGAAUCCAAACACUCCUGCUGCCACCUCAGCUCCAAAGAUGAUCACCAAACAGGCAAAGAACUGCAACAGAUGCAUACAUUACGCAUCCGAAGAAACCCACCAGCAUCACCAGACUUCCUGCACCUAUCAGGAUGUACACACCUGGAAAGGCGGGGACAACACAAGCCUAAAACUGCAACCCAAAACGAUCAGGAUUCAUCGAGAUCAUCAAGGAGUUUUAAGAAGCUUCAGGUAAGACGAUUCGCAUCCCCAUAGACGCCCCGAUCGCCCAUUAAAGCUCUCAUUAUAUACAUUGUGGGUGCGGCCACCGCACAAGACUGUUUGUGUGUUGCUAAGAGACACUCCGGCAGCCGCCCGGUAACGUGGGCUCGGGUGGGAACAAAUAAGAACAAAACAGAGACGUCAUAAAUUCGGCGGGAGGUUGUUGUCCUUGAGAAGGAGGGUUAGCUUGAAAGAUAAAUAGAAGACGACUCCACACUAUACUCUCCUUUAUGGUGAUAAUUGAGUGCAAACCCGAGUGCAAUAAAUGAAUUUCCACGACAUAGAAUAUUACUUUUAUUUUUAAUAUUUUCAAUGUUGAAACAUAGAAACCUAUUAAAAAAAAACAAAACAAAAAAACAAAAAAAAAACCU
Non-coding RNA from Doryrhamphus excisus (bluestripe pipefish), 672 nucleotides. Lineage: Eukaryota; Metazoa; Chordata; Actinopteri; Syngnathiformes; Syngnathidae. The record is from RefSeq and is a predicted model, not a curated record.